UACGGGAGGCAGCAGUGGGGAAGUAUUGCACAAUGGGCGAAAGCCUGAUGCAGCUAUGCCGCGUGUAUGAAGAAGGCCUUAGGGUUGUAAAGUACUUUCAUCGGGGAGGAAAAACAAAACUAAUAAUUUUAUUUCUUGACGUUACCCGAAAAAGAAGCACCGGCUAACUCCGUGCCAGCAGCCGCGGUAAUACGGAGGGUGCUAGCGUUAAUCAGAAUUACUGGGCGUAAAGAGCACGUAGGUGGUUUUUUAAGUCAGAUGUGAAAUCCCUGGGCUUAACCUAGGAACUGCAUUUUGAAACUGAAAUACUAGAGUAUCGUAGAGGGAGGUAGAAUUCUAGGUGUAGCGGUGAAAUGCGUAGAUAUCUGGAGGAAUACCUGUGGCGAAAGCGGCCUCCUAAACGAAUACUGACACUGAGGGUGCGAAAGCGUGGGGAGCAAACAGGGAUUAGAUACC
RNAcentral lists this ribosomal RNA (456 nucleotides) under uncultured bacterium. RNAcentral's name for it is "bacterial SSU rRNA". It matches the Rfam family "Bacterial small subunit ribosomal RNA", at positions 340 to 786 of the family's 1533-position model. The record is from RNAcentral.